Molecule: non-coding RNA, 153 nt
Filed under: unclassified sequences
Description: RT-14 RNA
Rfam family: RT-14 RNA
About the family: Cloacimonetes, Firmicutes, Proteobacteria.
Source: Rfam by way of RNAcentral
UUUUCUCAUAUAGUCAGCAUACGCCGCAACACGCGGGCGGCGUACCGUACAGAGAGAAGAAAAGGGGCAUAUUUCCCUGCUUGCAGCGAUGCGAGCAAAACAAAAAUUUCCAUGAAUACGGUUAGUAGCAAAAGCAAAGGGCGUAACGCAUGG